RNAcentral lists this ribosomal RNA (490 nucleotides) under uncultured bacterium. RNAcentral describes it as "partial 16S ribosomal RNA". It matches the Rfam family "Bacterial small subunit ribosomal RNA", at positions 30 to 507 of the family's 1533-position model. The record is from RNAcentral.
AUUGAACGCUGGCGGCAGGCCUAACACAUGCAAGUCGAACGGUAACAGAAAGCAGCUUGCUGCUUUGCUGACGAGUGGCGGACGGGUGAGUAAUGUCUGGGAAACUGCCUGAUGGAGGGGGAUAACUACUGGAAACGGUAGCUAAUACCGCAUAACGUCGCAAGACCAAAGAGGGGGACCUUCGGGCCUCUUGCCAUCGGAUGUGCCCAGAUGGGAUUAGCUAGUAGGUGGGGUAACGGCUCACCUAGGCGACGAUCCCUAGCUGGUCUGAGAGGAUGACCAGCCACACUGGAACUGAGACACGGUCCAGACUCCUACGGGAGGCAGCAGUGGGGAAUAUUGCACAAUGGGCGCAAGCCUGAUGCAGCCAUGCCGCGUGUAUGAAGAAGGCCUUCGGGUUGUAAAGUACUUUCAGCGGGGAGGAAGGGAGUAAAGUUAAUACCUUUGCCCAUUGACGUUACCCGCAGAAGAAGCACCGGCUAACUCCGUG